ACAAUGGGGCUUCAAGACGGUGAUUCUUCUACCCAAUUUAAAAAAACCCCCAUUGCCAGUUAGGGUUUAUUCAUCUACGUAACAUUGUGUGAAAACCGAAGCAACGGCUCCUUCUUCGACUCCUGCAAAUCCGGAGAGCUCAAUCACACACUCAAAGAGUUUGAUAUUUUCAAGGAAUGGGGAAGCUGGGGAAGAAGGCAAGGAAGUUCUCAAAGAAGAAUCUUCAGUCUGUGCUCAAAAGAAAGAGGCAGCUCAAGUCUCUGUUCAAAAGGAGAGCUUCUAAAAGAGAUCGGCAUAAUGCUGCUGAAGAUGAAGAUGAGGUAGAUAUAGAGCUGUCUAAUGGAAGAAACCCUGAAGCUGGAGAUAUUGAAGACUUUUCUCUUGAUGCGGUAUUUAGUGAAGAUGAUAGUGAUGUGACAGGAGAUGAUUCUGAGAGUGAUGGAUAUCUCUCAGAGGACUCAAGCUGUGCACAUGUUGCUGAAAGUGGAAGUGAGGAUUAUCUUAAAGACAGCAGUGGAGGUAGUGCUUUAUCGGUGCAAAACAACGAAAUUCAUUUAGAUCUUGUACAGAAGACAAAAAAAUUGAACAGGUUGCAGGAAAAGGAUCCAGAAUUUGCUAAGUUUUUGGAAAGCUAUGAUAAAGGCCAACCUUUCAGAAACGAAGAAACUUAUUCUGAUGAGGAUGAGAUAAGUAAUGAAGGCAUGGCCUCAAAUGAGGGCAAGUUCUUGACUAGCUCUGCUGUUAAAAGUUGGUGUCAGCUAGUGAAGGAGCAGCACAGUGUGCCUGCCUUAACUAGUCUCUUAAAUGGAUAUCGGGCUGCAUGCCACUAUGGAACCAAGUCAAGUGGUGUCCUUGAUGCUGAAUCAUGGAGUAGAAUUCAGAACAGUGAAACUUUCUGUGAGAUAUUGAUGUUCGUACUUCAUGAGGCUGAUAAUAUAUUUCGAGGGCUACUGGAAAUAUCGAGUUCUAAUUGCAAGAAGGAAGCAAUUUUGGGGUUAAAGAAUACUUCAAAAUGGAAAACUCUGAGGCCACUAAUUAAAUCUUAUUUGAGGAGUACCCUGUUUCUCCUGAGUCAAGUUACCGACUAUGAGAUAUUGGCCUUUGCCCUAGCAAGACUCAGAAAUUCAAUUUUAUAUUUUGCUGCUUUUCCUUCUUUACUGCGCAGAUUGAUCAAGAUUGCAGUUCAUUUGUGGGCAACAGGUGGAGGAGCCCUAUCAUCACAUUCCUUUCUCAUCAUAAAAGAUGUGGCGUCUGUGUUUAGCUCCAAUUGUUUUGACCCCUGCUUUGUUAAAACUUACAAGGCCUUCAUUGGUCACUGCCAAUUUUUGGAGUCAGCUGUAUUUAAACAUAUGCAAUUUCUGAGGAAUUCCUUGGUUGAGCUUUGCUCUCUAGAUAUGCAGAAAUCAUCUAGGAAAGCAAUGGUUUCUAUCAAGCAACUUGCAAAGACACUGCAGCAGGGUCUACAAAUGAAGAAGGAAGCGCUAAAGAAAAUAUGCAGUUGGCAAUACGUUAAUUGCAUUGAUAUUUGGGUAACGUUUAUAGCAGCAAAUAUACGUGAUUAUGAUCUUCAACCACUGCUUUUUAUGAUCAUUCAGAUUAUAAAUGGAGUGGCUGUCCUGUUUAGUGGACCAAGAUAUUUACCCUUAAGACUUAAAUGCAUCCAAUGGCUGAACCAUCUCUCCAGUUCUAGUGGGAUUUUCAUCCCUGUUGCAUCAUUGGUGUUGGAUGUUUUAGAAUAUAAUAUUAGUAAGGAGGGCAGGAGCAACGAAAAGGCUGUCAACCUUUCAUCUGCUGUUAAGUUGCCAAAACACUGGUUAAAAUCACGAAAUUUCCAAGAAGAGUGUGUUUCAUCUGUCAUUGAACUGCUUGCAGAGCAUUUUGCUCAAUGGAGCUACCACAUAUCUUUUCCUGAACUGGCAACUAUUCCUCUCGUCCGGCUCAAGAAGUUUAUUGAGAUAAUUAGUAUCGAGAGUUUUAGACGUGUGGUGAAGCGUUUUAUUGAUCAGGUGGAGCACAACAUAGAGUUUGUCCAGAAGAAAAGAGAUGAGGUGGCUUUUUCACCCAAAGAUCAGCAAUCUGUUGAAUCAUUUCUCCAGCUGGAGAAGCAUAGUGGCAAGUUCCCAUUUACACAGUAUUACAGAAGCAUCAUGGAGAAGGCUGCUUCUAGAAAUCUGGUUUUGAAUGAAAAGUUUGCUGGAGCAGAGAAAAUCAUAAAGAAUAUACAACAGCAUCCAUCUGACAUGGUAGAUGUGGGUGGUAAAGGCAAAGGACAUUCAGUGAAAAGAAAAACACUUUCUCGUGAGAGAAAGAAUGGAAAGAAAAUUAAAGUGUGAACAUAAAUGUUUUCUCAUGAGUCAUGACCAGGUACAAGUGCAUACUUCCAACAAAAAAUUUUAGCGAAAAGGCAGAGUCCACGCCGUCUCAUGUGAUUUAUCAGGUCCUCAUCGCCAUGCUUUUGACCAGUUUUUCGACUGAUUUUCUUCAAGUCUUGCUUAUCAAGCCUAUGCCGUAGACUAGAAGAAAUAUGUUUGAUAUUUUUUUAACAAGCUGUACUAUUUUAUAGGAGUUGUUCAAACUUAUGUAAGGUAUAAUAUAUAAAUUUAAAUUUUCUUUAAAAAAAAAAAAAAAACUAAAUUCAAAUACGCUACUUGGAUUUGGGUUCAGUUGCAAAAA
RNA transcript from Quercus robur (English oak), 2673 nucleotides. It is a transcript of the gene named protein REBELOTE, with no coding region annotated. The transcript has 16 exons. The record is from RefSeq and is a predicted model, not a curated record. NCBI's taxonomy places the organism in Eukaryota, Viridiplantae, Streptophyta, Magnoliopsida, Fagales, Fagaceae.